GAUGAACGCUGGCGGCGUGCCUAAUACAUGCAAGUCGAGCGAACGGACGAGAAGCUUGCUUUUCUGAUGUUAGCGGCGGACGGGUGAGUAACACGUGGAUAACCUACCUAUAAGACUGGGAUAACUUCGGGAAACCGGAGCUAAUACCGGAUAAUAUUUUGAACCGCAUGGUUCAAUAGUGAAAGACGGUCUUGCUGUCACUUAUAGAUGGAUCCGCGCUGCAUUAGCUAGUUGGUAAGGUAACGGCUUACCAAGGCAACGAUGCAUAGCCGACCUGAGAGGGUGAUCGGCCACACUGGAACUGAGACACGGUCCAGACUCCUACGGGAGGCAGCAGUAGGGAAUCUUCCGCAAUGGGCGAAAGCCUGACGGAGCAACGCCGCGUGUGUGAUGAAGGUCUUCGGAUCGUAAAACUCUGUUAUUAGGGAAGAACAUAUGUGUAAGUAACUGUGCACAUCUUGACGGUACCUAAUCAGAAAGCCACGGCUAACUACGUG
Molecule: ribosomal RNA, 497 nt
Filed under: uncultured bacterium
Lineage: Bacteria
Description: partial 16S ribosomal RNA
Rfam family: Bacterial small subunit ribosomal RNA
Source: RNAcentral